GAGCAGCCCAGGAACAGCUCCUGAACACGACACCUUCUGGCAGUGAAGCGCGGCCGACACUAAGUGUCAACUAAAUCAAAUUAAAAGACGGUCUGAUAAACCUGAAGUGAAGUGAAGUGAAGAAACAGGCAUUUGCGACCCAGUGAAAAGGACAAGCAGAUCAGAGAUAACUGCAUGUAUUAUUUAAAGUGGAACUCACAAAGUUGGUGACAGUGAUUCAGCCCUUCUUCAGAGGCUACAUCACCUUGAACUCAUGCAAAUUUAAGAUCAACGACAUCCCAUGUGUCUUGUUCGGAAUACAGUACUGUCUAAUGAAGCCACGAAACCAUCAAAAUUGCAGGAACAUUUCCAUAAAAGACACGCUGAAAAAGCUAAUUAUGGUAUUAAUCAGUUCCAGAAGAUGAAAGAAGCAUUUGAAAAGUGUUGCACACUCAAUCAUUUGUCAAGAAAGCUAAAAAUGACCUUGAUAAUGGUCUCAUUGCUUUUUAUAACAUUUCCAAAAUGAUAGCAAAAUGUGGAAAAUCUCACACAAAUGGUGAAAGAUUAAUAAUCUCUGCUGUACCAGAAGUGUUCACCACUGUUCUCAAAAUGGCUACCAGUAUUUAAAAUCAGUUCCUCUGAGUAAUAACUCUGUGGCUCGUUGUCUUGAUGAAAUGAGUGAGGGCAUUGAUUAUCAGCUAUGCACAAAGCUAGAAAAAACAGAAUUCGUGAUACAACUGAAUUUGAGAUGGAUCUUUUUUCAAGCAUGACUCUUGUAAUAUCUGCAAUCAACAAAAUGAAAGCUCAUCCAUUAAAUAACAGAAUAUUUCACCAGUUAUGCCAAGAUAACAAUGAAGAGUUUGAAUACUUGCUGCUUUACACUGAAGUGCUUUGGCUGUCAAAAGGCUGCUGCUUGAAAUGCUUCUUUGAUCUUUUUGACACUUUGGUUGAAGCUUUGCUGAAAGUUGUCAAGAGCUUAGGAAAUAAGAUUGACUUCUACGUGGAGAUGUGGUAUAUCUAGCUAAUCUGGAUGACAAAAUGAACGUUCCAAAUGUGAAACUGCAGGGCCAGAAUUUCAAUUCAAUCCAGGCAAAAGGUACAGCAUCCACUUUUAUCGGAAAACUGGAAAAACAUAAGCAAAACAUUGGGAGAAGAAUGUUCUCACAGUUUCCCUGCAUGGAAAGUGUGUCUCUCUUUUAGAGAUGGUGAUUUGCAAGAGUACUGCUUACAGCUGCAGUCACUGAAAAAGGAAUUUCACAAUCGAUUCAAGGAUUUGAACAAUCUGGAAAUUCCAAAAUGGAACAUAGCCCAUUUCUUUGCAAGGUAGAUGAACAGGAAGAGAGCUUGCAUAAAGAAAUUAUUGGAAUUCAGAAUGAUGAAGAAGCAAAAAUGCUUUUCAAAAUGUUGGAUUUUGUGGUAUGUGGCUGCACUGUCAUAUGAAGUUUCCUGGUCUUUAGAGAAGAGGCAAACUGCUAUUCAUUGCAUUUCCAUCCUCCUACCUUAUAACCAUAUAACAAUCACAGCACGGAAACAGGCCAUCUCGGCCCUCCUAGUCCGUGCCAAACUCUUAAUCUCACCUAGUCCCACCUACCCGCACUCAGCCCAUAACCCUCCACUCCUUUCCUGUCCAUAUACCUAUCCAAUUUUACCUUAAAUGACACAACUGAACUGGCCUCUACUACUUCUACAGGAAGCUCAUUCCACACAGCUAUCACUCUCUGAUUAAAGAAAUACCCCCUCGUGUUUCCCUUAAACUUCUGCCCCCUAACUCUCAAAUCAUGUCCUCUCGUUUGAAUCUCCCCUACUCUCAAUGGAAACAGCCUAUUCACGUCAACUCUAUCUAUCCCUCUCAAAAUCUUAAAUACCUCGAUCAAAUCCCCCCUCAACCUUCUACGCUCCAAUGAAUAGAGACCUAACUUGUUCAACCUUUCUCUGUAACUUAAGUGCUGAAACCCAGGUAACAUCCUAGUAAAUCGUCUCUGCACUCUCUAAUUUAUUGAUAUCUUUCCUAUAAUUCGGUGACCAGAACUGUACACAAUAUUCCAAAUUUGGCCUUACCAAUGCCUUGUACAAUUUUAACAUUACAUCCCAACUUCUGUACUCAAUGCUCUGAUUUAUAAAGGCCAGCGUUCCAAAAGCCUUCUUCAUCACCCUAUCUACAUGAGACUCCACUUUCAGGGAACUAUGCAUUGUUAUUCCGAAAUCUCUCUGUUCCACUGCAUUCCUCAAUGCCCUACCAUUUAUCUUGUAUAUUCUAUUUGGAUUAUUCCUGCCAAAAUGUAGAACCUCACACUUCUCAGCAUUAAACUCCAUCUGCCAAUGUUCAGCCAUUCUUCUAACCGGCAUAAAUCUCCCUGCAAGCUUUGAAAACCCACCUCAUUAUCCACAACACCUCCUACCUUAGUAUCAUCGGCAUACUUACUAAUCCAAUUUACCACCCCAUCAUCCAGAUCAUUUAUGUAUAUUACAAACAACAUUGGGCCCAAAACAGAUCCCUGAGGCACCCCGCUAGUCACCGGCCUCCAUCCCGAUAAACAAUUAUCCACCACUACUCUCUGGCAUCUCCCAUCUAGCCACUGUUGAAUCCUUUUUAUUACUCCAGCAUUAAUACCUAACAACUGAAUCUUCUUAACUAACCUUCCAUGUGGAACUUUGUCAAAGGCCUUGCUGAAGUCCAUAUAGACUACAUCCACUGCCUUACCCUGGUCAACAUUCCUCGUAACUUCUUCAAAAAAUUCAAUAAGGUUUGUCAAACAUGACCUUCCAUGCACAAAUCCAUGCUGGCUACUUCUAAUCAGAUCCUGUCUAUCCAGAUAAUUAUAAAUACUAUCUCUAAGAAUCCUUUCCAUUAAUUUACCCACCACUGAUGUCAAACUGACAGGUCUAUAAUUGCUAGGCUUACUUCUAGAAACCUUUUUAAACAAUGGAACCACAUGAGCAAUACGCCAAUCCUCCGGCACAAUCUCUUGAGCAAUACGCCAAUCCAAGGCACAAACCUUGUUGAAAGAAGCUUCUGUGCAGUGAACCUCAUACUCACAAAAAACAGAAACCACUUGGAAUUGUUACAUGUGGGACUUAAGGCUUUUGCUGUCUCAAUUUCAACUAAAAACCAUCAAGCCCAAGGAUCACACUGAUAUUGAAGCUGCUGUACAGCACAAAGGUACUGUGUAUGCUAGGUUUAAAGACAAACAAAAAUUUAAAGCAGAAUGAUUUUUCUCAUGUUAGCAUAUGGUUGACAUGUUUCUAAACUUUUGGGGGUGUCAGAAAGUACCUCGUGCAUAAGAGGGGCAUUAACGAGUAUGAAGGUGCUUUAGCGGGGUGUUGGGCUAAAAAAGGUUGGAACACACUGCUUUACACUAUCAGGGCACCAGGACAUAAAUUAUCCCUCAGAGGGGCGUUGGCAACUAUGAGGGUACUUUAGGGGGGCUUUGGCAAAUAAGAAAAUGCUUUGGGGGGGUGCAUUGGGCUAAAAAGAUUGUUAAGCACUGGUUUACAUAUUUGGUCAUUUCUGGAGAUGCUCCCACACUAUCUUGUCAACUAUUUCCAGCUGAACUAGACUGCAAAUGUAAUAUAUGGUUCGACAAAGACUUGAUCAUUGGAUGUCAAAGCAUUGUUCCUUUGUUAUGUGCCAUGUCAUAUGACAUGGGUGAUCAUGGUGUUUUCAUGACCAUGAUUGUUCUUGGCAAGUUUUUUUUUACAAAAGAGGUUUACCAUUGCCUUCUUCUGGGCAGUGUUUUUACAAGACCAGUGAAUGACCCCAGCCAUUAUCAAUGCUCUUUGGAGAUUGCCUGCUUGGCGUCAGUGGUCGCAUAACCAGGGCUUGAGAUAUGCUUCAGCUGCACAUAUGACCAUCCACUAUCUGUAGUGGAUGGUAGGGAGGUAAAGAAAAAUCAUAUAAUCUUUGCAGAGGGUAUGCUUUGAUAGAAUGUCAGGGUGGAGAUAUGGGUGGUGGGGUGGAGUCAAAGUGUACCCUCUGUAAAGAUCAUUUUACCUCCUGACCCCUGUUAUUCGAUGAUGAAAUUCUCAUUGUGCUUUUGACCAAACUGUUGGCUGUCUCACUUAAUAGUUCCUAUGUGGCUUUUAUGAUGAAGCUUCAGUAAAGAGUUUCAGGCAGUUUUACCAUAUUACAAGAUCUUUGGAAGCUCACAAUUCUUGCUGUAAAUAACCUUUUCAAAGGAGUCAAAAUUAGGUUAUGUUACUCUGUAUAAAAUGUACUUUUUCAUAUUCAUGUCAUCCGAAGUAAAUUCUAUUUGGAACAUACACAUUGAUAAUAAAUUAUUCUUUUCAGAGCUCAACAUGUGCGGCACAGAACAUGUAAUCCACGUUCUCAAAAAUAAAACAAACUUCUGGCUCCUUGCUUGAAAUUAAAUGGA
Hypanus sabinus (Atlantic stingray) is the source of this 4352-nucleotide long non-coding RNA. RefSeq lists it as uncharacterized. Lineage: Eukaryota; Metazoa; Chordata; Chondrichthyes; Myliobatiformes; Dasyatidae. The transcript has 3 exons. The record is from RefSeq and is a predicted model, not a curated record.